Molecule: long non-coding RNA, 6350 nt
Organism: Mytilus californianus (California mussel)
Lineage: Eukaryota; Metazoa; Mollusca; Bivalvia; Mytilida; Mytilidae
Exons: 10
Source: RefSeq, a predicted model, not a curated record
CAUGGCUUCUAGAGAAAAAUAAUGAGGGGUGUCACGGGGUAUGACUAUAUAGGUCUUGUAGAAGAGAAACAGGCGCAUCUUUUGCGCAAGGUAUCGAAGAGCGCUAUGUUCAAAAAUCUGAAACUAGAGCUCUAAAUUUAAAAAAAAAAAUGGUAAAAACAGGGGGGUUGGCCUAUUCCAUGGCUUCUAGAUAAAAAUAAUGAGGGGUGUCACGGGGUAUGACUAUAUAGGUCUUGUAGAGGAGAAACAGGCGCAUCUUUUGUGCAAGGUAUCGAAGGGCGCUAUGUUCAAAAAUCUGAAACUAGAGCUCAAAAUAAAAAAAAAAAUGUAAAAAACAGGGGGGUUGGUCUAUUCCAUGGCUUCUAGAGAAAAAUAAUGAGGGGUGUCACGGGAUAUGACUAUAUAGGUCUUGUAGAGGAGAAAGAGGCGCAUCUUUUGCGCAAGGUAUCGAAGGGCGCUAUGUUCAAAAAUCUGAAACAAGAGCUCAAAAUUAAAAAAAAAAAUGUUAAAAACAGGGGGGUUGGCCUAUUCCAUGGCUUCUAGAGAAAAAUAAUGAGGGGUGUCACGGGGUAUGACUAUAUAGGUCUUGAAGAGGAGAAACAGGCGCAUCUUUUGCGCAAGGUAUCGAAGGGCGCUAUAUUCAAAAAUCUGAAACUAGAGCUCAAAAUUUAAAAAAAAAAUGUUAAAAACAGGGGGUUGGCCUAUUCCAUGGCUUCUAGAGAAAAAUAAUGAGUGGUGUCACGGGGUAUGACUAUAUAGGUCUUGUAGAGGAGAAACAGGCGCAUCUUUUGCGCUAGGUAUCGAAGGGCGCUAUGUUCAAAAAUCUGAAACUAGAGCUCAAAAUUAAAAAAAAAAAUGUUAAAAACAGGGGGUUGGCCUAUUCCAUGGCUUCUAGAGAAAAAAAAUGAGGGGUGUCACGGGGUAUGACUAUAUAGGUCUUGAAGAGGAGAAACAGGCGCAUCUUUUGCGCAAGGUAUCGAAGGGCGCUAUGUUCAAAAAUCUGAAACUAGAGCUCAAAAUUAAAAAAAAAAUGUUAAAAACAGGGAGGUUGGCCUAUUCCAUGGCUUCUAGAGAAAAAUAAUGAGGGGUGUCACGGGGUAUGACUAUAUAAGUCUUGUAGAGGAGAAACAGGCGCAUCUUUUGCGCAAGGUAUCGAAGGGCGCUAUGUUCAAAAAUCUGAAACUAGAGCUCAAAAUUAAAACAAAAAAAUGUUAAAAACAGGGAGGUUGGCCUAUUCCAUGGCUUCUAGAGAAAAAAAAUGAGGGGUGUCACGGGAUAUGAUUAUAUAGGACUUGUAGAGGAGAAACAGGCGCAUCUUUUGCGCAAGGUAUCGAAGGGCGCUAUGUUCAAAAAUCUUAAACUAGAGCUCAAAAUUAAAAAAAAAAAUGUUAAAAACAGGGGGGUUGGCCUAUUCCAUGGCUUCUAGAGAAAAAUAAUGAGGGGUGUCACGGGGUAUGACUAUAUAGGUCUUGUAGAAGAGAAACAGGCGCAUCUUUUGUGCAAGGUAUCGAAGGGCGCUAUAUUCAAAAAUCUGAAACUAGAGCUCAAAGUUUAAAAAAAAAUGUUAAAAACAGGGGGGUUGGCCUAUUCCAUGGCUUCUAGAGAAAAAUAAUGAGGGGUGUCACGGGGUAUGACUAUAUAGGUCUUGUCGAGGAGAAACAGGCGCAUCUUUUGCGCAAGGUAUCGAAGGGUGCUAUGUUCAAAAAUCUGAAACUAGAACUCAAAAUUUAAAAAAAAAUUGUUAAAAACAGGGGGGUUGGCCUAUUCCAUGGCUUCUAGAGAAAAAUAAUGAGGGGUGUCACGGGGUAUGACUAUAUAGGUCUUGUAGAAGAGAAACAGGCGCAUCUUUUGUGCAAGGUAUCGAAGGGCGCUAUAUUCAAAAAUCUGAAACUAGAGCUCAAAAUUUAAAAAAAAAAUGUUAAAAACAGGGGGUUGGCCUAUUCCAUGGCUUCUAGAGAAAAAUAAUGAGGGGUGUCACGGGGUAUGACUAUAUAGGUCUUGUAGAGGAGAAACAGGCGCAUCUUUUGCGCUAGGUAUCGAAGGGCGCUAUGUUCAAAAAUCUGAAACUAGAGCUCAAAAUUAAAAAAAAAAUGUUAAAAACAGGGAGGUUGGCCUAUUCCAUGGCUUCUAGAGAAAAAUAAUGAGGGGUGUCACGGGGUAUGACUAUAUAAGUCUUGUAGAGGAGAAACAGGCGCAUCUUUUGCGCAAGGUAUCGAAGGGCGCUAUGUUCAAAAAUCUGAAACUAGAGCUCAAAAUUAAAAAAAAAAUGUUAAAAACAGGGGGGUUGGCCUAAUCCAUGGCUUCUAGAGAAAAAUAAUGAGGGGUGUCACGGGGUAUGACUAUAUAGGUCUUGUAGAAGAGAAACAGGCGCAUCUUUUGUGCAAGGUAUCGAAGGGCGCUAUAUUCAAAAAUCUGAAACUAGAGCUCAAAAUUUAAAAAAAAAAUGUUAAAAACAGGGGGGUUGGCCUAUUCCAUGGCUUCUAGAGAAAAAUAAUGAGGGGUGUCACGGGGUAUGACUAUAAAGGUCUUGUAGAGGAGAAACAGGCGCAUCUUUUGCGCAAGGUAUCGAAGGGUGCUAUGUUCAAAAAUCUGAAACUAGAGCUCAAAAUUAAAAAAAAAAAUGUUAAAAACAGGGGGUUGGCCUAUUCCAUGGCUUCUAGAGAAAAAAAAUGAGGGGUGUCACGGGGUAUGACUAUAUAGGUCUUGAAGAAGAGAAACAGGCGCAUCUUUUGCGCAAGGUAUCGAAGGGCGCUAUGUUCAAAAAUCUGAAACUAGAGCUCAAAAUUAAAAAAAAACUGUUAAAAACAGGGGGGUUGGCCUAUUCCAUGGCUUCUAGAGAAAAAUAAUGAGGGGUGUCACGGGGUAUGACUAUAUAGGUCUUGUCGAGGAGAAACAGGCGCAUCUUUUGUGCAAGGUAUCGAAGGGCGCUAUGUUCAAAAAUCUGAAACUAGAGCUCAAAAUUAAAAAAAAAAAUGUUAAAAACAGGGGGGUUGGCCUAUUCCAUGGCUUCUACAGAAAAAUAAUGAGGGGUGUCACGGGGUAUGAUUAUAUAGGACUUGUAGAGGAGAAACAGGCGCAUCUUUUGCGCAAGGUAUCGAAGGGCGCUAUGUUCAAAAAUCUGAAACUAGAGCUCAAAAUUAAAAAAAAAAUGUUAAAAACAGGGGGGUUGGCCUAUUCCAUGGCUUCUAGAGAAAAAUAAUGAGGAGUGUCACGGGGUAUGACUAUAUAGGUCUUGUAGAGGAGAAACAGGCGCAUCUUGUGCGCAAAGUAUCGAAGGGUGCUAUGUUCAAAAAUCUGAAACUAGAACUCAAAAUUAAAAAAAAAAAUGUUAAAAACAGGGGGGUUGGCCUAUUCCAUGGCUUCUAGAGAAAAAUAAUGAGGGGUGUCACGGGGUAUGACUAUAUAGGUCUUGUAGAGGAGAAACAGGCGCAUCUUUUGUGCAAAGUAUCGAAGGGCGCUAUGUUCAAAAAUCUGAAACUAGAGCUCAAAAUUUAAAAAAAAAAUGUUAAAAACAGGGGGGUUGGCCUAUUCCAUGGCUUCUAGAGAAAAAUAAUGAGGGGUGUCACGGGGUAUGACUAUAUAGGUCUUGAAGAGGAGAAACAGGCGCAUCUUUUGCGCAAGGUAUCGAAGGGCGCUAUGUUCAAAAAUCUGAAACUAGAGCUCAAAAUUUAAAAAAAAAAUGUUAAAAACAGGGAGGUUGGCCUAUUCCAUGGCUUCUAGAGAAAAAUAAUGAGGGGUGUCACGGGGUAUGAUUAUAUAGGUCUUGUAGAGGAGAAACAGGCGCAUCUUUUGCGCAAGGUAUCGAAGGGCGCUAUGUUCAAAAAUCUGAAACUAGAGCUCAAAAUUAAAAAAAAAAAAUGUUAAAAACAGGGGGGUUGGCCUAUUCCAGGGAUUCUAGAGAAAAAUAAUGAGGGGUGUCACGGGAUAUGACUAUAUAGGUCGUGUAGAGGAGAAACAGGCGCAUCUUUUGCGCAAAGUAUCGAAGGGUGCUGUGUUCAAAAAUCUGAAACUAGAGCUCAAAAUUAAAAAAAAAAUGUUAAAAACAGGGGGGUUGGCAUAUUCCAUGGCUUCUAGAGAAAAAUAAUGAGGGGUGUCACGGGGUAUGACUAUAUAGGUCUUGAAGAGGAGAAACAGGCGCAUCUUUUGCGCAAGGUAUCGAAGGGCGUUAUGUUCAAAAAUCUGAAACUAGAGCUCAAAAUUAAAAAAAGAAAUGUUAAAAACAGGGAGGUUGGCCUAUUCCAUGGCUUCUAGAGAAAAAUAAUGAGGGGUGUCACGGAGUAUGACUAUAUAAGUCUUGUAGAGGAGAAACAGGCGCAUCUUUUGCGCAAGGUAUCGAAGGGCGGUAUGUUCAAAAAUCUGAAACUAGAGCUCAAAAUUAAAACAAAAAAAUGUUAAAAACAGGGGGGUUGGCCUAUUCCAUGGCUUCUAGAGAAAAAUAAUGAGGGGUGUCACGGGGUAUGACUAUAUAGGUCUUGUAGAGAGGAAACAGGCGCAUCUUUUGCGCAAGGUAUCGAAGGACGCUAUGUUCAAAAAUCUGAAACUAGAGCUCAAAUUUUAAAAAAAAAAUGUUAAAAACAGGGGGGUUGGCCUAUUCCAUGGCUUCUAGUGAAAAAUAAUGAGGGGUGUCACGGGGUAUGACUAUAUAGGUCUUGUAGAAGAGAAACAGGCGCAUCUUUUGCGCAAGGUAUCGAAGGGCGCUAUGUUCAAAAAUCUGAAACUAGAGCUCAAAAUUAAAAAAAAAAAUGUUAAAAACAGGGGGUAAGCCUAUUCCAUGGCUUCUAGAGAAAAAUAAUGAGGGGUGUCACGGGGUAUGACUAUAUAAGUCUUGUAGAGGAGAAACAGGCGCAUCUUUUGCGCAAGGUAUCGAAGGGCGCUAUGUUCAAAAAUCUGAAACUAGUGCUCAAAAUUUAAAAAAAAAAUGUUAAAAACAGGGGGGUUGGCCUAUUCCAUGGCUUCUAGAGAAAAAUAAUGAGGGUGUCACGGGGUAUGACUAUAUAGGUCUUGUAGUUGAGAAACAGGCGCAUCUUUUGCGCAUGGUAUCGAAGGGCGCUAUUUUCCAAAAAAUUAAACUAGAGCUCAAAAUUAAAAAAACAAAAUUGUUAAAAACAGGGGGGUUGGCCUAUACCAUGGCUUCUACAGAAAAAUAAUGGUGGGUAGUAGUGUAAAAAGGGGGAUUCUGUCGCACUUGCCAUUUUUAAGCACAAAUCCUGCAUAGGGACCCCAACCUCAAACAUAAAAUGCAAAUUCAUUGUGUUUCAACUAGUCUAAGGGUAGAAACAAGAAUAUGGCUUUUUGUAAACAAUGGUAGAGACACCUUAAAGGGAUGUAAUCCUAGGGGUAGAUACAAAAAUAUGGCUUUCGUACAGAAGAUGGAGGAACUCAGAAGUUAAAAAAUCGUAGACGACGAUUUUAUUAAUGAUAAUGUUUUCAAGGGUAAAGGCAAAGGACCAGAGCCUGGAAAUUCUAAAAUGGAAGGAACUCCCAACCUGGGUAAAAUAUAAAAUCCUAGAAGUGGUAGAAGUAGAUGGGAAGUUUGGGAGGAGUAAGAUCUUCACCUUGAAAAAACAGAGAAGGAGAAACGACAAGGGUAUGGGCCUGCAGUAGUCUGAACAGAGAGAAGGAACCCUUGGAAGGAGCCUUCGUGAGAAGUACAGGCUUAAAAGUUAGUAAAAUGACUAAACAGGAGUACUUUUCUUGCGAUCUUGUAAGAAAUUAAUUAAAAAAAAAAAAAAAAUGGGUUGGAUGGGGUACAAAAAAUAUUUCCAUCCGAUAUUUCUGCCGGAUCGGAAAGUUUUGUUUUCUUUUUUGUGUUUUUUUAUGCUUGAAACGGAGCACAUCGUGAAGUGAAGCAGAACGGAACACAUCGUGAAACGAUGUGUGUAGUGAAGCGUAAUGGAAUGAUGUGUGACGUUUUUACGGCGCAUGCGCAUUAAGGUCCUCACUAAAAGUGGUGGAAGGUUGUCGCAGCUGAUCUUUCUCAUCAUAGUAGUUCUUGAGGCAGCUUGUGAUCUUACCAAACUCAGCAUCAUCAAUUUGUUCAUCAUCAGCCAAAGCAGUACUAAUACAUUGUUCAACCAAGGAUUUUGUGGACUGUGCCAAUCGCAAGGUGUCACGGUGUUUUUUCUUCUUUUUCAUGAUACGCCUUGAGAUCAGUGUGAGUACCAUCACGCCAGUGGCACUCAAGCAAGCAAGGGAUCCUAGGGGAAGGGAGGCUAUAAUACCUAUACCGGUCAAAGCUGAACCCAUGGUGCAGCUGUCAACAUCAAACUGGCUACGGAACACACACCCUGUGCUAUAGACACUACUUUAUCGAGUCGUUUGUAGAUCUUCAAGGUACGUUGACACUUUAG